Molecule: ribosomal RNA, 500 nt
Filed under: uncultured bacterium
Lineage: Bacteria
Description: bacterial SSU rRNA
Rfam family: Bacterial small subunit ribosomal RNA
Source: RNAcentral
AAUCAACGCUGGCGGCGUGCCUAACACAUGCAAGUCGAACGCGAAAGCCCCUUCGGGGGUAAGUAGAGUGGCGUCCGGGUGAGUAACACGUAGGUAAUCUGCCUUCGGGUGGGGAAUAACCAGUCGAAAGAUUGGCUAAUACCGCAUAAUGCAGCGGCACCUAAUGGUGAUUAGUUGUUAAAGCGGGGGAUCGUAAGACCUCGCGCCUGAAGAGGAGCCUGCGGCAGAUUAGCAGUUGGUGAGGUAAUGGCUCACCAAGGCUUCGAUCUGUAGCUGGUCUGAGAGGACGGCCAGCCACACUGGCACUGACACACGGGCCAGACUCCUACGGGAGGCAGCAGUGGGGAAUUUUGGGCAAUGGGCGAAAAGCCUGACCCAGCAACGCCGCGUGAGGGAGGAAAUCCUUCGGGAUGUAAACCUCACAAGCAAGGGAAGAGAGCUCAAGGCCGAAUAAGCUUUGAGUCCGACGGUACCUUGCGUAAGCCACGGCUAACUACGUG